GAACCAACUAAUCCGAUUGCAUUUAUCUGAAAAAUCAUAUAUCCAUACCGGAAUCGUAAUUUAAUAGAUUUCAUAGUUAUCCAUUAACACCUAUAUGAGGAUCCAAUAAAGGUUGAAUAUUAUUCAUAUGAAAGCAAUUUGAACUUCACAUAAAACAUAUUGGAUAUCAAUUGUCUGGCCGAUUAUCACAAAAUCAGAUAAAUGGUGUAUGAUUGUAUAAUGUGAAAAAAAUCCUAUUAUCUGUUUAUCUGCAGUCGACCAUGUCAGUCAUUGCACAGUUUGCUAGUGAAUCUUUUUGUCUGAGUUGUUGCAAGUUUUGAAAGGUACGUUGUAAAAACAGUUGAUAGCUAAUAUUUAUACAGUAUAAUAUGUUUUUCUUCUAUUACAGAAUGCGGCAUUACUCUUUGACCCUGCCUCAUAAUUCUUUUUCUAAAAUUGCAUUCCAACGAUAAAUUGUAUGCUCAUGAUUAAGGAAGCAGCGUGCCACAAUAUGUUCAGCAGAAGCAUUCUAGGUGAUGGAUCCGAUUGGCCAUAUGGUCAUUGAUACCGGGCCCCAAAGAGAAGCGGUCAGACGAUAGCUUCGUCCUGAGGGAAGAAGAAGAAGAUACAUCCGAGCUCUAACCUUUUGCUCCCUUUUCUUCGCUGUUGACUACAUCUGGUAAACCAAAUGAAAUUACCUUAGUAGACUACUCUGAUAUGACUGCUAUGUACCUCAUGAAAUGCUAAAUAAAUGUGUUCAAUGGUAAAACUGCA
Molecule: long non-coding RNA, 753 nt
Organism: Aedes aegypti (yellow fever mosquito)
Lineage: Eukaryota; Metazoa; Arthropoda; Insecta; Diptera; Culicidae
Exons: 2
Source: RefSeq, a predicted model, not a curated record